CAACAAGAAAGUCUCCAUUUUGUGAGGCUGCAGGCUCCCGGGGAACUCAACUACAAAAGGAGGUUUGCGCAACGGAGGAGAACCAAGACCGUGAGCUCACGAGGAUUUAUAGUCACGGUCACUGAGUGAGAAAUGAAAUCAUGAGAUACACUUUUUACCUUGAAAGCAGGGCUAAGCUCCCAACUCUCAGGAGAAAAAAAACCUACUUGCAAUAAAGAUCAAAAUAUACGACUAGGCAAGCAACACAGCUCUCCAGUAAUCCUGCGGCCCAAGUGUGUCUACGCAAGUUAUGCUGUGUAACCAGUCUGUGCAGCUGUGGACAACAGCAACCACGGGCCUGAUCUGACCAGCUGAAGGCAGGCCUGUGGAAGUGUGCUAACUCCUUCAGGCCACAGAGUGCAUUUAGAAUUUUAAUAAAAGUGAUUAAAUAUUUAGUAGAGCCUGAGAACUACCGAAGCCUCCUCUCUCCCUGGCGAGGUGAACUUCUGGCAAAUUGCCACUCCUUAUGAAAUCUGAAGAACCCUGCAAAUGAUUUAAAGUAUUUGUGUCGCGUGUCUAUGAGGACCAUGGGGUUGAAGGAAUAAAUCUGAAACAAGUGACAGAGCUUUCGUUUGAUAUUUACAGUCGCCAAUACCUUUCUGUUUAUAAUCAGUUCCACCAAAGCUAUGCCUACCGCUUUCUGGAAAGAGGACACUCUAUGGUCCAAUACCAUAUGAUCUGGCAAUUUGGUUACGGGCUUCUCCUGGGCCAGACAACAGCUACAGCAUGAGCAUCAACUCAGCAAGCCUUCGUGAGCAGAGAUGGAGGCACAGUAAUCUGGAGGGAGUCAGAACAGUGUGGGUUCCUCCCCACGUUCCUUACUAAUCUGUGAGUAGUCAAGCAUAGUACUACUGAUCCUGCAAGGAGGCCAGAAGAAUAGAUUGGAGUUGCAUAAGUAACACAAAAACCACUGAAUUUAGCCGGGCGGUGGUGGCCUUUAAUCCCAGAAGAGACAGGUGGAUCUCUGUGAGUUCAAGGCCAGCCUGGUCUACAAGAGCUAGUUCCAGGACAGGCUCCAAAAGCUACAGAGAAACCCUGUCUCAAAACACCAAAAAACAAAACAAAACAAAAAAAAAUGAACUGUUCUAAAAAUCAGGCAAUAUCCAUAAAAAUAUAAAUUUCCUGUCUCCCU
This is a long non-coding RNA of Alexandromys fortis (reed vole), 1171 nucleotides long. RefSeq lists it as uncharacterized. The transcript has 3 exons. The record is from RefSeq and is a predicted model, not a curated record. NCBI's taxonomy places the organism in Eukaryota, Metazoa, Chordata, Mammalia, Rodentia, Cricetidae.